GCUAAACGCGAAGAACCUUACCUAGGCUUGACAUAUACCGAAAACUCACAGAGAUGUGGGGUCCGCAAGGGCGGUAUACAGGUGGUGCAUGGUUGUCGUCAGCUCGUGUCGUGAGAUGUUGGGUUAAGUCCCGCAACGAGCGCAACCCUCGUCCUAUGUUGCCAGCGAGUAAUGUCGGGGACUCAUAGGAGACUGCCGGGGUCAACUCGGAGGAAGGUGGGGAUGACGUCAAAUCAUCAUGCCCCUUAUGUCUUGGGCUUCACGCAUGCUACAAUGGCCGGUACAAAGGGCUGCAAUACCGUAAGGUGGAGCGAAUCCCAAAAAGCCGGUCCCAGUUCGGAUUGAGGUCUGCAACUCGACCUCAUGAAGUCGGAGUCGCUAGUAAUCGCAGAUCAGCAACGCUGCGGUGAAUACGUUCCCGGGUCUUGUACACACCG
RNAcentral lists this ribosomal RNA (437 nucleotides) under uncultured bacterium. RNAcentral describes it as "bacterial SSU rRNA". It matches the Rfam family "Bacterial small subunit ribosomal RNA", at positions 954 to 1392 of the family's 1533-position model. The record is from RNAcentral.